GACGUAGGGUCCGAGCGUUGUCCGGAGUUACUGGGCGUAAAGCGCGCGCAGGCGGUUCGAUACGUCGGGUGUGAAAGCCCCCCGCUCAACGGGGGAGGGUCAUUCGAAACGGUCGAACUGGAGGCAGGGAGAGGUCGGUGGAAUUCCCGGUGUAGUGGUGAAAUGCGUAGAGAUCGGGAGGAACACCAGUGGCGAAGGCGGCCGACUGGACCUGGCCUGACGCUGAGGCGCGAAGGCGUGGGGAGCGAACGGG
Molecule: unclassified non-coding RNA, 253 nt
Filed under: uncultured Thermomicrobiales bacterium
Lineage: Bacteria; Pseudomonadati; Thermomicrobiota; Thermomicrobia; Thermomicrobiales
Description: contains 16S-23S intergenic spacer region
Rfam family: Bacterial small subunit ribosomal RNA
Source: RNAcentral